RNAcentral lists this ribosomal RNA (465 nucleotides) under uncultured Klebsiella sp. Its description in RNAcentral is "bacterial SSU rRNA". It matches the Rfam family "Bacterial small subunit ribosomal RNA", at positions 338 to 795 of the family's 1533-position model. Lineage: Bacteria; Pseudomonadati; Pseudomonadota; Gammaproteobacteria; Enterobacterales; Enterobacteriaceae. The record is from RNAcentral.
CCUACGGGCGGCAGCAGUGGGGAAUAUUGCACAAUGGGCACAAGCCUGAUGCAGCCAUGCCGCGUGUGUGAAGAAGGCCUUCGGGUUGUAAAGCACUUUCAGCGGGGAGGAAGGCGUUAAGGUUAAUAACCUUGUCGAUUGACGUUACCCGCAGAAGAAGCACCGGCUAACUCCGUGCCAGCAGCCGCGGUAAUACGGAGGGUGCAAGCGUUAAUCGGAAUUACUGGGCGUAAAGCGCACGCAGGCGGUCUGUCAAGUCGGAUGUGAAAUCCCCGGGCUCAACCUGGGAACUGCAUUCGAAACUGGCAGGCUAGAGUCUUGUAGAGGGGGGUAGAAUUCCAGGUGUAGCGGUGAAAUGCGUAGAGAUCUGGAGGAAUACCGGUGGCGAAGGCGGCCCCCUGGACAAAGACUGACGCUCAGGUGCGAAAGCGUGGGGAGCAAACAGGAUUAGAUACCCCAGUAGUC